UUGCAGCCCCCAAGGAGCAG
RNAcentral lists this microRNA (20 nucleotides) under Monodelphis domestica (gray short-tailed opossum). RNAcentral describes it as "mdo-miR-12408-5p". The record is from miRBase by way of RNAcentral. Lineage: Eukaryota; Metazoa; Chordata; Mammalia; Didelphimorphia; Didelphidae.